GUGGGGAAUAUUGGACAAUGGGCGAAAGCCUGAUCCAGCCAUGCCGCGUGUGUGAAGAAGGUCUUCGGAUUGUAAAGCACUUUAAGUUGGGAGGAAGGGCAGUAAGUUAAUACCUUGCUGUUUUGACGUUACCGACAGAAUAAGCACCGGCUAACUUCGUGUCAGCAGCCGCGGUAAUACGAAGGGUGCAAGCGUUAAUCGGAAUUACUGGGCGUAAAGCGCGCGUAGGUGGAUUUGUAAGUUGGAGGUGAAAUCCCCGGGCUCAACCUGGGAACUGCAUCCAAAACUGCAUGACUAGAGUACGGUAGAGGGUAGUGGAAUUUCCUGUGUAGCGGUGAAAUGCGUAGAUAUAGGAAGGAACACCAGUGGCGAAGGCGACUACCUGGACUGAUACUGACACUGAGGUGCGAAAGCGUGGGGAGCAAACAGGAUUAGAAACCCCAGUAGUCC
RNAcentral lists this ribosomal RNA (450 nucleotides) under uncultured bacterium. RNAcentral's name for it is "partial 16S ribosomal RNA". It matches the Rfam family "Bacterial small subunit ribosomal RNA", at positions 354 to 796 of the family's 1533-position model. The record is from RNAcentral.